This 257-nucleotide long non-coding RNA is filed under the name Lathyrus oleraceus (garden pea). Its description in RNAcentral is "Pisum sativum (pea) long non-coding RNA (PSAT_LNC014355)". Lineage: Eukaryota; Viridiplantae; Streptophyta; Magnoliopsida; Fabales; Fabaceae. The record is from RNAcentral.
UAUCAUCAUCAUUGUAAUGGCAGCUACGAGAGUCUGUACUUCCUCCAAUUUCUCUGCUACAACAUGAUUUUCAGAUGAUUUCUCCUCUCAAAAGCAAGAAGAAAGGUUAUCAAAAAAUUUUUUUGGUGAAGAUUAUUACUCCAACACACUUUAUGAGUGAGAGCUUUUACAGAAAGUUUGAAUUCUUUGAUGCUUUCAUCCAAACCAAUCUAAAGAACUUCAUCAGCACCAACCCUGAAGAGAUAUUUCCAAAAUUG